GUUUUGGUCCUAAACUUGCCGUUGUUUUUUAUCAAAUUUACACAUGCAAGCUUCAACAACCCAGUGAAAUUGCCCCAAAACCCCUAAACAGCCAAAAGGAGCAGGCAUCAGGACCCAGAACCCUCUAGCCCAAGACGCCUUGCUAUGCCACACCCACACGGGUCCUCAGCAGUGAAUAACAUUAAGAAAUGAGCGAAAGCUCGACUUAGUUAUGAUAAAAAUGGCCGGUAAAUUUCGUGCCAGCCACCGCGGUUAUACGAGAGGCCAAAAACAAUGACCAACGGCGUAAAGAGUGACUAGAGUCCUACCAACAACUUAAAGUAACAUAAUAUCAAAGUUGUAAAACACCUUGAUUAUUAGACCACCAACAACAAAAAGACUUUAAACAAAAGGUGCCUUGACCUCACGAAAGCUAAGAAACAAACUAGGAUUAGAUACCCUACUAUGCUUAGCCCUAAACAUAGAUAGUAAACAUACAAUACUAUCCGCCAGAGAACUACAAGUGAAAAACUAGAAACUCCAAGGACUUGGCGGUGCUCCAUACCGUCCUAGAGGAGCCUGUCCUAUAAUCGAUAACCCACGCUGUACCCCACCACCCCUUGCAACUCAGCCUAUAUACCGCCGUCGUCAGCCCACCUUAUGAAAGGAAACCAAAGUGGACAAAAUAGUUAACAACUAAAACGUCAGGUCAAGGUGUAGCCUAUGAGGUGGAAGAGAUGGGCUACACUCUCUACCACAGAACAUACGAAUAGCACAGUGAAAUCUGUACUUGAAGGUGGAUUUAGCAGUAAGAUAAAUAAGAAAAUUUACCUGAAACCCGCUCUGGAGCGCGCACACACCGCCCGUCACCCUC
RNAcentral lists this non-coding RNA (853 nucleotides) under Trachylepis punctulata. RNAcentral's name for it is "partial 12S ribosomal RNA". It matches the Rfam family "Bacterial small subunit ribosomal RNA". The record is from RNAcentral. Lineage: Eukaryota; Metazoa; Chordata; Lepidosauria; Squamata; Scincidae.